Molecule: unclassified non-coding RNA, 748 nt
Filed under: Trichophyton tonsurans
Lineage: Eukaryota; Fungi; Ascomycota; Eurotiomycetes; Onygenales; Arthrodermataceae
Description: sequence contains 18S rRNA gene, ITS1, 5.8S rRNA gene, ITS2, 28S rRNA gene
Source: RNAcentral
CACAUUAACUUGGUCGUUAUCGGCCACGUCGAUUCCGGCAAAUCCACCACUACUGGUAAGCCAGCCACCAGAUAUACAUACCACUAGCCAGGCACCACACACUACAUAGAAACUGACUAUAACAUUACAGGUCACUUGAUCUACAAGUGCGGUGGUAUCGACCAGCGUACCAUUGAGAAGUUCGAGAAGGUAAAUAACCCUUUUUUGACCCUGUCUCAUUCGUUCUGCUGCACAUUUUUCUCUCUCCCUUUCUUCAACCCACCACAGGCGACUUUGUUGCUUGGUGGGAUGUGGCUUGGCACUCGCUUGGGCAGCAAAAUCCACCCCCCACCAACAUCAAAACAUGCAGCCAUCGCUCCAGGCAACGAUCGAGCCUCAUGUCAUGUUCAGAUUUGCUUUUUUCUGUCUUCAGGGUCGAUGCUAACAAGGUACCUGUAGGAAGCCGAAGAGUUGGGCAAGAAGUCCUUCAAGUACGCUUGGGUUCUUGACAAGCUCAAGGCCGAGCGUGAGCGUGGUAUCACCAUCGAUAUCGCCCUCUGGAAGUUCGAGACCCCCAAGUACAAUGUCACCGUCAUUGGUAUGUUUUUCUUUACCUUUCCCCUCCAUCGUCUUGCUGUGCCAUAACUAACGAGAGUAGACGCCCCCGGUCACCGUGACUUCAUCAAGAACAUGAUCACUGGUACCUCCCAGGCUGACUGUGCUAUUCUCAUCAUUGCUGCCGGUACUGGUGAGUUCGAGGCUGGUAUCU